RNAcentral lists this ribosomal RNA (253 nucleotides) under uncultured bacterium. RNAcentral describes it as "partial 16S ribosomal RNA". It matches the Rfam family "Bacterial small subunit ribosomal RNA", at positions 524 to 776 of the family's 1533-position model. The record is from RNAcentral.
UACGUAGGGGGCAAGCGUUGUCCGGAUUUAUUGGGCGUAAAGAGCGUGUAGGCGGUUGGGUAGGUCCGUUGUGAAAACUCGAGGCUCAACCUCGAGACGCCGAUGGAAACCAUCUAGCUAGAGUCCGGAAGAGGAGAGUGGAAUUCCUGGUGUAGCGGUGGAAUGCGCAGAUAUCAGGAGGAACACCAAUAGCGAAGGCAGCUCGCUGGGACGGUACUGACACUGAGGCGCGAAAGCGUGGGGAGCGAACAGG